Molecule: ribosomal RNA, 253 nt
Filed under: uncultured bacterium
Lineage: Bacteria
Description: partial 16S ribosomal RNA
Rfam family: Bacterial small subunit ribosomal RNA
Source: RNAcentral
UACGUAGGGGGCAAGCGUUGUCCGGAAUUAUUGGGCGUAAAGAGCGCGUAGGCGGUCCGAUAAGUCGGCUGUGAAAGUCAGGGGCUCAACCCUUGAAAGCCGGCCGAUACUGUCGGACUAGAGUCCGGAAGAGGCGAGUGGAAUUCCCGGUGUAGCGGUGAAAUGCGCAGAUAUCAGGAGGAACACCGGUGGCGAAGGCAGGUCUCUGGGCCGUAACUGACGCUGAGGAGCGAAAGCAUGGGGAGCGAACAGG